UACGUAGGGGGCAAGCGUUGUCCGGAUUUAUUGGGUUUAAAGGGUGCGUAGGCGGCCCUGUAAGUCAGUGGUGAAAUACUCUAGCUUAACUAGAGGGGUGCCAAUGAUACUGCAGGGCUUGAGUACAGAUGAGGUAGGCGGAAUUGACGGUGUAGCGGUGAAAUGCAUAGAUAUCGUCAAGAACACCGAUAGCGAAGGCAGCUUACUGGGCUGUAACUGACGCUGAUGCACGAAAGUGUGGGGAUCAAACAGG
Molecule: ribosomal RNA, 253 nt
Filed under: uncultured bacterium
Lineage: Bacteria
Description: partial 16S ribosomal RNA
Rfam family: Bacterial small subunit ribosomal RNA
Source: RNAcentral